AUUUCAAAGAAAAUCUAUAACAUCCCCAGCUUGCCCUCUUUACCACAAUAAUCGAUUGAGCAUCUUUUACUUUUUAGUGCCCAUGCCAAAGCAAUUUGGUUUGAACCCCCUUUUGGUUUCACUCCGAUCAAGAUUGGAUUCGGAUCUUUUGUUGAUUUGUGGAUAUCUGUUAUGCAGUUAUUUCUCUCCCAUGAAGGAAAAGAGU
Molecule: unclassified non-coding RNA, 205 nt
Filed under: Hevea brasiliensis (rubber tree)
Lineage: Eukaryota; Viridiplantae; Streptophyta; Magnoliopsida; Malpighiales; Euphorbiaceae
Source: RNAcentral